This is a non-coding RNA of Erinaceus europaeus (western European hedgehog), 687 nucleotides long. The record is from the annotation of a RefSeq genome assembly. NCBI's taxonomy places the organism in Eukaryota, Metazoa, Chordata, Mammalia, Eulipotyphla, Erinaceidae.
AUGCAGGAGUCCAAAGUUGAAAGGCAAGAACUUGCCAAAAAUAGGGCUGUUAUUCUGAAGAUCAUUCAGUUAAAGCAGCCAAUGUCUGAGAGAGUGCUCAGUGACAAAGAUUUGGGAGUCCAGUCUCCUCUGGUGUGUGAAGCUUCUCUGAAAACUCCUCCUCUGACCAAGUAUGGAGAAGAAAAGGAGGCAAUGGGUAGCCCAGUCACACUGUGGACUCAGGGGACAGAGAGCACCAUGGCCACAGCUCUUCUCUUUCUUUUCUUCUUCUCUCAUUUUACAGGUUCCCUCUCCCAGUCUAUGGUGACUCAGCCUCCCACCCUCUCUGCAUCUCUUGGAUCAACAGCCAGACUCACAUGCACCCUGAGCAGUGAUAUCAGUGUAGGCAGCAAGCACAUCUACUGGUAUCAGCAGAAGGAUGGGAAUCCUCCCAGGUAUCUCCUGAGGUACUAUUCUGACUCAGAUAAGCACCAAGGCUCCGGGGUAUCUAGCCGCUUCUCUGGAUCCAAAGACACCUCAAAAAAUGCAGGACUUCUGCUUAUCUCUGGGCUCCAGGCUGAGGAUGAGGCUGACUAUUACUGUAGUAUCUGGCACAGUGACAAUACUGGUUACACAGUACUCCAGACCUAUGAGGAACUGAGACCAAAACCUCUCCUGUGUCUCUCUGCAUCCAAAAAUCACCUUUGA